GAUCACUAAUUUUCUUUUAAUGUUAAACGUGAGUAAACAGAUUGAUAUUUAAUGUAUCUAACUGCACAGUUAUUAUAAAAAUGUUAAUUAAAUUUGUGUGAACUUGCAGUUGCUAGGAUAUAACAUCCAGUUGAAUUUAUUAAACAAUCUGACAACAUUGUAUGUUUUCACCACCUUCUAUAUUAGCCUGAAUUUGGACAUUUUCAUCACAACAUUGAUAACACUAAUUGGUUAAGGCUUAACCUUGAAACCGCCUAGAGGGGACGCCCAAGCCGAACCGACGCCAACAACAACUGCAGGCGCAGCGCAGAUCGUGAGUGCAGUUCCCGCGUUCGCAGUGACACCGGGAAAGGAGUGGAGCGGCCUCAGAGCGACUAGCGUCAGGCUCCAGCGGAUGCAGGGGGAAAAACCUUACGCCGAGAGACCAGACGAAUGGGAACAAGCUACAUAGAGCUAAGAGAUUAUUUCUCAAAGUAUUUUUUUUUAGUUUAUUUUUUUUUGUAUUCAUUAGUUUUAAUAUUCUAUCUUGCUUAACUUUUCGUUAUUAUAGUAUAAGUUCAUGUUUUUCAUUUAAUAUAUAAUUUUAGUGUUUUGUUGUCGAUACGUGAAUUGCGUACGAAUUUAGAGGUUAAGUGUAAAGCAUGUUUUUUGUUCAACAGAAAUCGCGGUGUAAAGAUAAGAUCGCGACAGAUUAUUCUUGCCUGUUACACACAAGGCUUUGUAAAGGAAAGUCACUAGACGAUAGACUUUGGCGUUAUACAUAAUCAUCAUAAAGCGCAUAAAAUUAGUGAGUUAGCGCGACUCACGCAAACAAGUCGAAUUUUGUUUAUUGUGCGAAUCGAGCUACGAGUGCUCGCGUUGAUUUAUUCUUUUCUUAUUAUUUACAAGUAAUGCGCGAACUGCAGAAAGAAUUGCAGAAAUACUAUUUUUUGUUGUUUAUUGUCAUAAAGUUUAUUUUGAAUAUUACGUUUCUUAUUUCUUAUGCUUUUUGCAUGUAUUUUAUAGUAACCUAGUAUAAACAUAGCAUAUAAGGUAGUUUUAAGUGAUAAAACAGCUCCUGCGUGAAAACAGAAAAAGUGCAGGCGGUGGCACCGAAAAGUGCACCUGUAUUUGAGAGGCGGCGUGCUUUUAAACAUAUGGCAUAUAUCGAUACGCAUCCUCAGAUGCUCUGAAUACACUUUGUGUGAAAAUCGGACAGCAGAUGUGGCAAGCGCCACAGUCAAAGAUGGAAUAACCUCAUUGGUCCGCGAGUAAGGAGUGGGGAGCUUCAGCAGCGGCACUGCCACUCGUGCCAGGAUUGGCGGAGACGACCUGGAGGGGACAUCUCACCAUCCGCUACACACCACAGCACGCUAUUGGCCGAGAUGUCGGGGGAAUGAAAACCUGAGCGCUGAUUGGUCGAGCGUUACUGGAGGGGCACGCCGGUAUAAAUCGGGACGCAGCGGCAUCCCUCCAGCUUGUUGGAGCCCGAGAUCGUCACGGGUAACAUCCCGCGUAGUUUUAACUCGCGAAAAAAGAUUAGCUUAGUGCAAUCAGACAAGUUCCGCGGAAGCGCAACCGCGUUAACAAUAGAGUCACGACCGUUCGCCGAAUGCGAGUAGGCGACGGGGAACUAGGAUAUACAAAGCCUAGCACCGAACGAAUAAAACGCGCUCAUAACGAAACGUUUGUGAAAAAGCGACGCGUUCGGGCGAGUGUUCAUAGCGCGACAGCGCAUAAGUAAGUUGCGAAACGAAUGUGAUAAGGCGACGCGUACGGGAGUGCUGUUAAUAGGAUAAGUGUUACGUUUUAAUAAAUAAUUUAUUUUUGUGAAUAUAAAACCAAAUACACAGUGUAGUGAAUACUUACCUGUUUCUUACCUGCAUGAGAUCCUACGACGAAUCCGAGGGGUUCCUGAAAAUAAAGUCCUGAAUAUUAAACAUCCGGGGUAUCCUGUUCAUGCGAAAAGUAUAUACCAACGUACCUGAGCACAUCCUUGGAGGGACGAGGCGAUCCGGAGAGUCAGCGGCGAUCCGACGGCAAAAGCAGCAUUUCCUGAAACAAAGAAAAAUAAAGAUUAUUCGAACCAAUAGCAAAGUAGAUACGCUCGUGAAAGCGUAGAGUGCUAAAAUUAACAUUUGGUGAAAGUGUUGUGCUGAGUUAUUAUACCAGCGCAUAUAUUAUUUAUCCGACGGCAAACGACAGGCGGUUAACGCAGCGAGCGACGGACGGAGAUUCCUUGCUUCUUGGUGGUAAAAGGAGCUGGCGAUCAAUAGGACGUGGACGAGAGUCUUCUAAAGGUUUGUUUUCUUGAUUUUCCGAAGCGAAUUUGUUACCCAACGAGGUGAUGAUCGGUUACAACCUAAGGUUUAAAAUUAUUUCUUUCUUUAUCUUACCAAGAGAUACGAUAAAGAUAGAAAUAAUUUCAAAUCUUAGGUUAAGCUUUAACCGGAGAAUGAAAAAUAGAGCUUUAAUCUUUUUAUUCGUAUCAAUACCUAUAGAUAGAAGACAGGACCCAGUCUUAUUCUUUUAAUAUUCUAUCUAAAAAUGUUUUAAUCUUUUACUGUUUAAUCACUGGGAGCAAACCCGCCACCUCAGCUAUGCCGGAGCUAGAGUCCGUCAUUCUAGCGAUCCCGACAUAAUAUUUAUUAUAUUUUUUUAAAUCUAAGUACGAUUUUUUAUUCGAUCAGUAGUGUGCUGCAACCACCUUUUAAUAAUCAUUUCAACCUCAUUCUUAGGGACGUUUUUUAUUUUUGAUAUAGUUUCUGCAACACAUAACAUUUUAUUUAUAUAAUUUGGCAGAGUCAAAUCCUCCAAUCAUUUUUAUUUCGCGAAUCUGUUAACAUAAAAAAAUAUAUAUCAUUCUUAUUCACAAUGCAUUUAAAGAAGGUAAUUAAAAAAAAUAUGGUUAAUAAUCUGCUUACAUAUGAUUUUUGUACUUCUAAAAACUUGAGAUUUUGUUCAAAUUCUUCAAAAUCUUGGACAGUUUUUAAAGGUAAGUUUGGCAAAAGACUCUCCUUUUCAUUUAUCAUUUCAGAUAUUCCUUUACUAUUUUUCGUUAUAUUAAUAAGGUGAUUUAACUUCGUGUUUAUCAAUUUAUAAUACUUUAGAAAUCGCUCUUCGGUCAGUGAGAUUCAAAGUCAGUGACAUUAUAAAAAAAUUAUUAAAGUGAUUUUCUAUUGUUAAUUUGUCUUAAAUUUUUUCGAACAAUUCAGUUAUUCAGUACAAUUGUUCAGUAACAAAUAAUAACUUACUACAUCUAUAGCUGCGAUUUUUCACUUCCACUUGAUAUGUCGGGUUAACAUUUUCAUUAGCAUUUGUGGCUACAAAAAUAUAAAUUUUUUUUAAUUUAAAAAUCAAACUAAGAAUCAAAUCACAACUUUAAUUAAUAGCUUAACUUAUUCUGUAUGUGCUUUAAAUAAAAUAAUAUUCACAAUUUUUAAUAUAAUUCAUAAAUGACACUUUAAAUAAACUUAUUCUUUAAUUUUAGAAACUUUAGAAUACUAUUAAUGUGUAGAAUAAUUUUAAACAAUUUGUCCUUCAAAAGGUAUAUUCUUGAUUGUAUUCUUAAACAAUUUUUUUUAACACAAUUUAAAAUCUAGUUUUUAACACAAAUAAUAAAACUAAUUCUACGUCCAACUAGAUUUUUGUGCCUAAUAUUUGCGUUAAAAUUUAUUUUAAACAAUACACAAAAUAAUAUCAAAAAUAUAAUCUUAAGUAAGAAUGAAACAAUAUACAUGAUAUUAAAAUUUAAUAAUUGUGGUAGUGUUCUAACUUAUCCUAUAUGAAAAUCCAAAGACUAAAACUCAAUCUACAUAAACUUAAAAUCUAUUGCAUAAUAAUUAUACAGCCAAGCACACUUGUGCAACCAAAAUGUCGAAUUGUAUAUAGUUGUCACAAUUAAUGUCAUUUUUAUAAUGUUUUUUAAUUUUUUAUAAAGUUUGUAAAACUUUGUAGUUACGAGUUAAAAAAAUGCUUUAUUUUUAAGACAAUCACAUUUUGUCAUUUUAUGCUUAAAAAAACUGGGCUGACCGUACAAUUGUUAUUCAAAUUAAAUUCAAGAAACAAAUUGAUGGAAUAAAUUAAAUAAUAAACCGUAAUAAAAUAAAAACACAUAUGUAAAGAAUUAACGUAUGUAAAGAUUUUUAAACUUACAUGUUAUACUUUUAAUGCUAGGCUGUUUUGAAGGUUUUGAUUUCAAACAUGCAAGUAAAGAUCCAGGCAAAGGUUCUUUAUUAAAAUUGGCUUUCGGAAGUUUAGCUUUAUAUUUUUAAAAAUCCAAAUCAAAUGAUUUUAUAAA
Monomorium pharaonis (pharaoh ant) is the source of this 4279-nucleotide long non-coding RNA. RefSeq lists it as uncharacterized. Lineage: Eukaryota; Metazoa; Arthropoda; Insecta; Hymenoptera; Formicidae. The record is from RefSeq and is a predicted model, not a curated record. The transcript is spliced from 2 exons.